AAUAUUGCUUUGCCAUCAUUCAACCUAUCCGGACGUCGGGUCACCAUUGCUAGAUGGUUACAUCGAUUGAUUCAGAAAUCCAUUUUUGUACUACCAACUCAGAUUUGAAUCUAUAGGGUCACACUCAAAAAAAAUUUCUGACUGAUCAUAUGGUUGAUUAACGAUUGAGAAUCGUUCAAGAGCUUAAUCAUCAAUUCGAUUGAUGGUUAACCUUAUGUGAAAGUUGUAAUAAAUUUAUUCACCAAGUGUUAAUGAAUUAAUGAAAGAUUAGUAAAUAAUUAGA
RNAcentral lists this long non-coding RNA (283 nucleotides) under Elaeis guineensis (African oil palm). RNAcentral describes it as "long non-coding RNA (EGUI_LNC041636)". Lineage: Eukaryota; Viridiplantae; Streptophyta; Magnoliopsida; Arecales; Arecaceae. The record is from RNAcentral.